This 104-nucleotide small nucleolar RNA is filed under the name Cordyceps fumosorosea ARSEF 2679. RNAcentral's name for it is "Isaria fumosorosea ARSEF 2679 A. fumigatus snoRNA Afu_514". It matches the Rfam family "A. fumigatus snoRNA Afu_514". Lineage: Eukaryota; Fungi; Ascomycota; Sordariomycetes; Hypocreales; Cordycipitaceae. The record is from Rfam by way of RNAcentral.
CACACUGAUGAGGUAAAUUUGCGAUUGAUUCUGGCCGGUGGCUCUCUCGCCGGAGAUGCUAAAUCGGCCAGACAAGUGAUAUUCAAUUCUUACAUAUUCUGACA